GUCUGCAACUCGACUACAUGAAGCUGGAAUCGCUAGUAAUCGCAAAUCAGCAUGUUGCGGUGAAUCCGUUCCCGGGUCUUGUACACACCGCCCGUCACACCAUGGGAGUCGGAAAUGCCCGAAGUCGGUGACCUAACUGAAAGGAAGGAGCCGCCGAAGGCAGGUCUGGUGACUGGGGUGAAGUCGUAACAAGGUAGC
Molecule: ribosomal RNA, 198 nt
Filed under: uncultured bacterium
Lineage: Bacteria
Description: partial 16S ribosomal RNA
Rfam family: Bacterial small subunit ribosomal RNA
Source: RNAcentral